Helianthus annuus (common sunflower) is the source of this 1308-nucleotide long non-coding RNA. RefSeq lists it as uncharacterized. The record is from RefSeq and is a predicted model, not a curated record. Lineage: Eukaryota; Viridiplantae; Streptophyta; Magnoliopsida; Asterales; Asteraceae. The transcript is spliced from 3 exons.
UUAACACCUAUGUCUAUGUAGGUAAUGAUUAAACACAUAAUUGAAGUUAACUACAAAACCUGAAAUCUGGAGGAACCAUCUUUCUUCUCAUUGAUUUAAAACACAAUUUUUGUUCGUUAAUUUAGAUACUUUUCACAUUCAAACAAACUGAUUUUCCAAUUCUGUACUAGUUAAUUAAAACUUUUCAUUACGACACUUUCCACAAUCCUCCUCUGGUUCGAUAUCCGACUUAUCCUAUCUACAUAGUUUAGUUGGUUUUUGCAUGUCCUUAACGACAGACAUCAGGUACCAUGAAGCGAGUUGGGAUCUUUUGUAGCUGUUUGAGAGGAGCUUUAGGGUUGAGAAAUCUAUACAUUGAACCACGGUAAGUUCCGGUAAGGGCUGCCAAAUCAAAUCGAGAAUGUGAAGACAACAAUAAGUGUUUUGGGUUAGGUUUCGAAUCUGAAUCGAGAUGUAUGAAUGGGGGGUCCAUAAGUAAAGCUUGGUGUUCUAUCAAGGAUUGCAAUAUGAUAUACAAUGGUGGCUAGAGGUGGCCGGUGAAGGCGGUUUGUAGCGGUUUAGGCUAAAAUGAACCCGAAGAAGCGUUGAAAAGCUAAAUAUCGAUUUACACGGAUUUUGUAACCACAACCCAAUGAAAAUGGUGAAGACAUGGUCUGAAAAGGAAAUGAGGAAUCUUAUCUGGAGAAGUAUAUCUAACUGAUGGGACUGCAACUUACAACUGGGGUCAUGACUUGGCUAAUUUUAGAUUGAUUCAACAAAUUGAUAGUAGAAUUGUUGUGGAUGAUAUGAGAAGUUUUCCUUUCAGCAGUGGAACUUGAAAGGUAUGAGGAAUAGUGACGUAUUUUUAGGAGCACAAUUAGAACUAGGGAUGAGUAUAUGGUACCAGGUACCCAUUUUUCCAACUUUUUAGGACCGAGAUUGGUACACGUUACAUGUUUAGGGAUGAGUAUAUGGUACCAGGUACCCAUUGUUCAGAGAGUGAUGUGUUCGUGCUCGCAAUUUCGGGGUUGUUUUACGCAGAUGUUGCAGGUAAAAGAAUAGGUUCAGGGAAGACUAAAAUAGUGGUUCCUGAUGAUUCUGCAUCCGCUGGUUCUGAACCGGGAAAUUAUAUUUCGAGAUAUGUAUCGAAGAAGACCCACAUGGCGUAUUCAUGUUUCUGCUAGAAUGAUACAACAUAGUACGAUACAGUACCCUUUGCAUAUGGAAUAAGUGCUUGUAAUGGGGGUUUAGAUUGGUUGUAUUUUUUUUUGUUUUGUUAGAUUGAUUUUGAUAUAUUUAUGCAAAAAGGAGCUCUGAAGAGAGUGAAAA